RNAcentral lists this ribosomal RNA (460 nucleotides) under uncultured bacterium. Its description in RNAcentral is "partial 16S ribosomal RNA". It matches the Rfam family "Bacterial small subunit ribosomal RNA", at positions 338 to 795 of the family's 1533-position model. The record is from RNAcentral.
CCUACGGGCGGCAGCAGUGAGGAAUAUUGGUCAAUGGACGAGAGUCUGAACCAGCCAAGUAGCGUGAAGGAUGACUGCCCUAUGGGUUGUAAACUUCUUUUAUAUGGGAAUAAAAUGUUCCACGUGUGGGAUUUUGUAUGUACCAUAUGAAUAAGGAUCGGCUAACUCCGUGCCAGCAGCCGCGGUAAUACGGAGGAUCCGAGCGUUAUCCGGAUUUAUUGGGUUUAAAGGGAGCGUAGGUGGAUUGUUAAGUCAGUUGUGAAAGUUUGCGGCUCAACCGUAGAAUUGCAGUUGAAACUGGCAGUCUUGAGUACAGUAGAGGUGGGCGGAAUUCGGGGUGUAGCGGUGAAAUGCUUAGAUAUCACGAAGAACUACGAUUGCGAAGGCAGUUCACUGGACUGCAACUGACACUGAGGCUCGAAAGUGUGGGUAUCAAACAGGAUUAGAUACCCUUGUAGUC